Molecule: ribosomal RNA, 844 nt
Filed under: uncultured bacterium
Lineage: Bacteria
Description: bacterial SSU rRNA
Rfam family: Bacterial small subunit ribosomal RNA
Source: RNAcentral
CAAGUCGAACGAUGAAGUUCCUUCGGGAAUGGAUUAGUGGCGAACGGGUGAGGAACACGUGAGAAACCUGCCUUUCAUUCUGGGAUAACACCGGGAAACCGGUGCUAAUACCGGAUACUCCGUCUUGGCGGCAUCGCCGAGCCGGGAAAAAAUUUUGAUGAAAGAUGGUCUCGCGGCCUAUCAGCUAGUUGGUGAGGUAAUGGCUCACCAAGGCGACGACGGGUAGCCGGCCUGAGAGGGCGACCGGCCACACUGGGACUGAGACACGGCCCAGACUCCUACGGGAGGCAGCAGUAGGGAAUAUUGGGCAAUGGGCGCAAGCCUGACCCAGCGACGCCGCGUGAGGGAUGAAGGUCUUCGGAUUGUAAACCUCUUUCAGUAGGGAAGAAGCGAAAGUGACGGUACCUAAAGAAGAAGCACCGGCUAACUAUGUGCCAGCAGCCGCGGUAAUACAUAGGGUGCAAGCGUUGUCCGGAAUUAUUGGGCGUAAAGAGCUCGUAGGUCGUUUGUCGCGUCGAUUGUGAAAAUCUGAGGCUCAACCUCAGACCUGCAGUCGAUACGGGCAAACUAGAGUGUGGUAGGGGAGACUGGAAUUCCUGGUGUAGCGGUGGAAUGCGCAGAUAUCAGGAGGAACACCAACGGCGAAGGCAGGUCUCUGGGCCAUAACUGACACUGAGGAGCGAAAGUGCGGGGAGCGAACAGGAUUAGAUACCCUGGUAGUCCGCACCGUAAACGGUGGGCACUAGUUGUGGGAACCUUCCACGGUUUCCGCGACGCAGCAAACGCAUUAAGUGCCCCGCCUGGGGAGUACGAUCGCAAGAUUAAAACUCAAAGGAAUUGACGG